This 550-nucleotide ribosomal RNA is filed under the name uncultured fungus. Its description in RNAcentral is "eukaryotic LSU rRNA". The stretch from base 203 to 356 matches the Rfam family "5.8S ribosomal RNA". Lineage: Eukaryota; Fungi. The record is from RNAcentral.
AAGUCGUAACAAGGUUUCCGUAGGUGAACCUGCGGAAGGAUCAUUAUCCAAUGCGUCUGGGGCCGGCCAAACGGUUGUGCCCCGACCAAACAUACCCUUGAUUUUUUGCGUACAUAUUGUUUCCUCGGCAGGCUUGCCUGCCAGCAGGACCUUUUUAAACUCAGUGCAGUUGCAAUCAGCGUCAGAAAACUUUAAUAGUUACAACUUUCAACAACGGAUCUCUUGGUUCUGGCAUCGAUGAAGAACGCAGCGAAAUGCGAUAAGUAGUGUGAAUUGCAGAAUUCAGUGAAUCAUCGAAUCUUUGAACGCACAUUGCGCCCCUUGGUAUUCCAUGGGGCAUGCCUGUUCGAGCGUCAUCUGCACCUUCAAGCUCUGCUUGGUGUUGGGCGUUUUGUCUCUGCUUUGUGCGGAGACUCGCCUUGAAUCUACUGGCGGCCGUGACUUGGUGGUGAGCGCAGCACAUUUUGCGCACUCCGCCGGGCUCGCGGUGUCCACAAAGCACAUUCUUCGGUUUGACCUCGGAUCAGGUAGGGAUACCCGCUGAACUUAA